Molecule: ribosomal RNA, 495 nt
Filed under: uncultured bacterium
Lineage: Bacteria
Description: bacterial SSU rRNA
Rfam family: Bacterial small subunit ribosomal RNA
Source: RNAcentral
GUUUCAUCCUGGCUCAGAUUGAACGCUGGCGGCAUGCCUUACACAUGCAAGUCGAACGGCAGCAUGAUCUAGCUUGCUAGAUUGAUGGCGAGUGGCGAACGGGUGAGUAAUACAUCGGAACGUGCCCUGUAGUGGGGGAUAACUAGUCGAAAGAUUAGCUAAUACCGCAUACGACCUGAGGGUGAAAGUGGGGGACCGCAAGGCCUCAUGCUAUAGGAGCGGCCGAUGUCUGAUUAGCUUGUUGGUGGGGUAAAGGCCCACCAAGGCGACGAUCAGUAGCUGGUCUGAGAGGACGAUCAGCCACACUGGGACUGAGACACGGCCCAAACUCCUACGGGAGGCAGCAGUGGGGAAUUUUGGACAAUGGGGGCAACCCUGAUCCAGCAAUGCCGCGUGUGUGAACAACGCCUUCGGGUUGUACAGCACUUUUGUCCGGAAAGAAAUCCCCCUUACUACUAUUANGUGUGGAUGACGGUACCCCAAGAAUACGGACCG